AAUUCUGUUGUGUGCACAUCACAGAGUACACUUACACAAACCUAGAUGGAAGAGCCUACUGCACACCUAGGCUGAAUGGGACCAGCCUGGCCAACAUGUUGAAACCUCAACUCUACUAAAAAUACAAAAAUUAGCCAGGCUUGGUGGCAUGUGCCUGUAAUCUCAGCUACUUGGGAGGCUGAGGCAGGAGAAUCACUUGAACCUGGGUGGUGGAGGUUGCAGUGAGCCGAGAUCACCCCACUGCACUCCAGCCUGGGCGACAGAGCAAGACUGACUCAAUUUAAAAAAAAAAAGAUAAAAAUGGUGCAUCUCUAUAGGGCGUUUACCAUGCCUGGAGCUUGUGGGACUGGAAGUUGCUCUGAUACGCAGCCUGGUCUACAGGAAGAAUUCUAUGUAUAUUUGCUGAAGAGACAAAGAAGGAUGUGGAUGAAUUGGAUGUGGAGAAUGAGAGGAAAGAAAAUGUCAAGGAUGGCUCUAAUUUCUGGCUUAUGCAACUGAGUGGUGCCAUUGAGAGAGCAGACUCUCUCUCUUGCCUUCUUGGUUGGCACACUGGGGAGAAGCGAGCUGCAGCGUUGGAGAGGCCCAUGUGGCAAGGGACUGAGAGCAGCCUCUGGCCAACAGCCGGUAAGCAACCAGUGAGCAACCGAGGCCCUCAGUCCCACAGCAUGUGAGGAACUGAGUCCUGCCAAUGAUCAUGUGAUACUGAAGGAGGGUCUUUCUUUAGCUGAUCCUACAGAUGAGAAUCUAGCCCUUGUGCUGCCUCAUGAGAGACCCUGGAGCAGAGGCCCCAGCUG
RNAcentral lists this long non-coding RNA (794 nucleotides) under Homo sapiens (human). Its description in RNAcentral is "non-protein coding lnc-COPG1-2:2". Lineage: Eukaryota; Metazoa; Chordata; Mammalia; Primates; Hominidae. The record is from RNAcentral.